RNAcentral lists this ribosomal RNA (473 nucleotides) under uncultured bacterium. RNAcentral's name for it is "bacterial SSU rRNA". It matches the Rfam family "Bacterial small subunit ribosomal RNA", at positions 27 to 518 of the family's 1533-position model. The record is from RNAcentral.
GGACGAACGCUGGCGGCGUGCUUCAUACAUGCAAGUCGAACGAUAAGGUCUCUUCGGAGAUACAUAAGGUGGCGGACGGGUGAGUAAAAUGUAGAGAAUCUGCCCUAGAGAUGGGGACAACAGUUGGAAACGACUGCUAAUACCCAAUAUGAGCGUAGUUGAAAUACUAUUCUUGAAAACUCCGGUGCUCUGGGAUGAGUCUGCAUCUGAUUAGCUAGUUGGAGGUGUAAUGGACCACCAAGGCGACGAUCAGUAGCUGGUUUGAGAGGAUGAUCAGCCACAAUGGGACUGAGACACGGCCCAUACUCCUACGGGAGGCAGCAGUAGGGAAUUUUGCGCAAUGGGGGAAACCCUGACGCAGCCAACGCCGCGUGAAUGAAGAAGCCCUUCGGGGUGUAAAGUUCUGUCAGUAGGGAAGAAUAAAUGACUGUACCUACAGAGGAAGCAUCGGCUAACUCCGUGCCAGCAGCCGC